This 54-nucleotide small nucleolar RNA is filed under the name Methanomassiliicoccales archaeon RumEn M2. RNAcentral describes it as "Small nucleolar RNA sR41". It matches the Rfam family "Small nucleolar RNA sR41". Lineage: Archaea; Methanobacteriati; Thermoplasmatota; Thermoplasmata; Methanomassiliicoccales. The record is from Rfam by way of RNAcentral.
CCGGAUGAAGAGAUUCUUUGCUCUGACUGGUGAUGAGCCCUAUGAGUGCUGACG